UCCCCAACCUCCCUCCUCGCACCGGGACGAGCCGGCUUCGCCAGAGCUCAGCCCGGGCGGUAGGGGCUAGGCACCCAUACCCGUUCCGCCCCCUCCCGCAGAUCCCCUUGCAGUCUCCGCCGACCUGCCCGGCGAGGAGAGGACGCAGCAACUCCCCCGCCACCCCGGACUUACCUCGGUGUCUGUUGCUCCAUGCCCCAACCUGCGGCCCGCUCCCCCUACGUACCAGCCCGGCCUCGGCACUCACCGGAGGUACUGCGCGCUCUGCAGGCUCAUCCUCCGCCGCCGCCGCCGCGUCUUCCCGCGAAGCCUCCGUGGGUCUCUCAGGCUCCUCGGAGCGGCCCCGCGGCACCGCGGGUGCUGGCGGCCGCCGCCAUCUUCCUCUCCUCCGGCUCCUCCUCGCUCGGCAGGGGGGUGGGGGUGAAUGAGGCGAGGGGGAGGGAGUGGGGAAAGCUGCUCUCGCUGCUGCUCUGGCCCGUGGGGCGCAGGGACACUCCGACCCGGGGGGGAGGGGGAGGGAGGAGGGGCGGGGGAAAGAGGAGAAGCAGAGGAAGUCGGCGACCGGGCGAGGGAGGGGGUCCCUCUCGCGAGAUUUCAGCAGCGCCUGUCCCUCAGUGAUUUCCGCCUCUCUGUAGCGCUCCCUUUUGGGAUCAACGAGCUGUGUGGCGCCUGUGCGGCUUCUGAGAGACCGGCUGGUGGCGCUUGGCGGCUUCCUGCCAAUCCACCCUUCUCCUCCCGCGCAAGGGGGCAAUCCCAAUCCCACCACCGGGAACACCCAGGCCAAAAGAACGGGAGUUACACUCAAAGUCUUCCCCCUUCUUAUCACUCCUGCCGAUUUCCCUCUUCCUUUUUGCACGCCUCCACUCUUCCCCACCGGAAACGCCGCCCCUUCCUCCUACAGUUCCUCCCAGCAGUCCCUCAACGCCUGUCUUCCCUCGCGCGUAGAGAGUGACUCGAAGGACCCCCUCUCCUCUUCGCUGCAGCCCCUCCCCAUGCACGCUGGGAGACUCUUGGAGGGGAUAAGGUGGGGCCCGGAGAGGAAGAGAAGACAAUCGGAUUGGAUAGGCAGCUGCCAUGGCAACUGGAGGCUGUGGUUAUAUUGUCAUAGUAACCGAUGUGUGCGGACAGGGUCACCCUCCCCUUGGCCAAUGGAUUCCCAGGAAACCACCCAGGGUUCCCCGUUGGCUUCCCUUCCAUCUAAAGGCCUCCCCCAAGUUAGGAAUCGAUAUAGUUCUCCCCGGUGGUGAAGUCCACUUCCUCCUCCCUUCCCACUUCCCACAGCAACUGGGGGGACACCCCGAGGCAUUCACCAUGGGCUUUUCCACCCGCCUGCGAGCGGGAACCACCUCCGUAGUUUCCUCUCAGAGCCGGGCGUGGAGAGGGCUGGGCCUGCGAAGAGGAUGCAUGGCCUGGAGGCUGGCGGGCGGCGGGCUGGAGUCGGGAGGGCGAGGCGACAGCGCCAAGCGGCGAGGAAGGGCAAGGGGUUUCCCCACAACUGCCUUGGGCUCUGGGAGGCGGGAUCCCGCCUGGACGGGGUCCCUGAGGGAGGAGAGCGGCACACGACAGCCGCGAUGCCUUCCCUGCCGACGGGGAUAGCCGACUUCUGGCGAGUCGACCCCUCCCCCAAAUCCACCCCACCCGCGUACUCCCUCCUGACCUAGCUGUCGCGAGCCUGCCGCGAGGAGGCCAGGGUGAGGGUGGGAACACAUCCUAGAAGGCUAACACGUGGUUUUCUAUCAUUUAAGCCGGGGACAAGCCGGAAGGCUGACUAGCGCCAUCACUCUGAUAGGCACCCCGCAGUGGGGAUCCUGCUUGAUUAUUAAAGGCAGACCUCCAAGUUCCUCCCUGCUCUGCAACCUUUCUCUUCUCACGGGUCUGCAGUGUUUUAAAAGUCGUCAUUCUGUGUCGUUGAGUUAGAGAGGAAAACAUCGGAUAAAAGAGGAUCAAGAAGAACGAACCCUAGAUACAUCUGUCUGGUGAAAGGAGUCUAGGAAAAGAAGUUUCAUUCUUAGAACAAAUCUUUUUGGAUAUUUAUUAUGUGUGUUUUGUGUCAGGUUUCGGGCCAAAAAGCUGAAAUAAAGAACGAAGUCAAUAAUAAUAUGAAGUGUAUGAGAAAUAGCUGGAAAAUUCAUCAUCCAUGACUUGAAGAAAUUGACGUUUUACAAGUUAUAUUUUCGGUUCGUAUUGUGGAGUCACUUAAGGAGCUAUCCCAAAGUACUUUAGGAUAUGUAACUAUAUAAAACCUUCCAAGAAUGCAGCCCUCAUAGGAUAGUUAAAAUAAGGAUUUUAAUGGGCUAUUUUGAUUUGGUUUGGUCUGGUUUGGCUACCUGAUUCCUGCUGUCUUUUUCUACGCCAGGUGAAGAGGCACUUUCAAGAUCCUUCUCUGAGACCUGCACCAAUAAGACUAUACCAAUGUUCAGUUGAAACAUCAGGUAUAAGUUUAGCGGAAACGAAAGUACAACCUGCUUUGAAAUAAAUUCCAAGGACAGAUUGUCAUUAACGAAAUAGAAAGUGGACUAUGCCCCUCAUGCUGCCAGCGCCUGGUAUGGUGCGGCGUGACACGCAGCGCUUGCGGCAGUACAAUGCCCCCAAUCACCCGCCCCGCCCCGACGCGCCGCCCACUCACGGCAAAGAGAGCCACCUAGUGAGGGAUUAUUCUCAUUUCCGCGGUGGGGUUCUGCUUUUCUUUCUACCAUGAGCGCCCAAGGAUAGACACUCCUACUACCUAUUACCUCAAAUAGCCUACAUUUCUUUCCGAAAAUUUAUUGGUUAGAUAUUUUUCUUUUUUUUUUUUAAUUUAAAGACCAGUGUGAUCGUGUAUUGGUUAGAUUUUUUAAUUGGUUAGAUUUCAACCAGAAUAAAAAUUGUAAUAAUUAC
Molecule: long non-coding RNA, 2877 nt
Organism: Homo sapiens (human)
Lineage: Eukaryota; Metazoa; Chordata; Mammalia; Primates; Hominidae
Gene: SMG7-AS1
Product: SMG7 antisense RNA 1
Source: Ensembl